This 65-nucleotide transfer RNA is filed under the name Bathymodiolus manusensis. RNAcentral describes it as "tRNA-Leu". Lineage: Eukaryota; Metazoa; Mollusca; Bivalvia; Mytilida; Modiolidae. The record is from RNAcentral.
GGGUGGCUGGCAGAAGUAAAUGUGUUUAGUUUAGGUCUAAAAGAUGGGCUGUUGCCCGCUACCCU